Neofelis nebulosa (Clouded leopard) is the source of this 637-nucleotide long non-coding RNA. RefSeq lists it as uncharacterized. The record is from RefSeq and is a predicted model, not a curated record. NCBI's taxonomy places the organism in Eukaryota, Metazoa, Chordata, Mammalia, Carnivora, Felidae. The transcript is spliced from 2 exons.
AUUCUGUGAUUUGGCUUCACUUUUGGGAGGUGGUUGAAAUAUGUAAUCAAAAUCGGGUUUCCUCAAGACUUUAUCACAUUUGAAACUGUGGUUGGCUGCUUCGUAGUCAGUCAUUUGGGGGCAUUUUUGCUUCUGCCAAAACAUUAUGUGUGUGCACACGUUUGUGUGUGUGUGUGUGUGUGUGUUUGUGUGUGUGAGUAAGGGGUGGAGGGCAGUGGCAGGUGUCCUGUCUUUUCCUUCUACUCUGUUCCUUCUCCCAUCUAGCUUCAUUGCAGUCAACUUUACAUCACGAUGAAUUUAGAAGUGAAGAUACGUUAAAGAGAUAAUUGCGAUACGAGGAUUUAAUGUCACGUUACUGCAAAGAGUUGGUUUUUGCUGAGAUCUGUUGUAUAUUUAUGAUUUUCUAUAUGUGUCUUUGUUAUACUUAGCAGAAUCUGGUUAUUUAUUUUCAUAUAGACUUAAUAGCUCAUUGAAAGAGAAAUUAAGCUGAUUACUAUUAGUCAACAUUUAAGGUGCUCCCACUGCAGAAAUUUAAGGCCUGAGCCUGAAAUGCUGUAUUAUGAAGCCUUGUGACUGAAAAAGAUGUUUACAUAUGUUGUCUAUUUUUUUAAUAAACUUUUUUUUUAUAGCUAGUCUA